This is a non-coding RNA of Crucibulum laeve, 100 nucleotides long. NCBI's taxonomy places the organism in Eukaryota, Fungi, Basidiomycota, Agaricomycetes, Agaricales, Nidulariaceae. The record is from the annotation of a GenBank genome assembly.
GCUUCCAUAGCUCAGUGGUAGAGCAUUGUACUUAUGAGGAUAACAGAAAUUGACUUCUGCAGAUAUGCAAGGGUCUCGAGUUCGAAUCUCGGUGGAAGCA